RNAcentral lists this transfer RNA (69 nucleotides) under human gut metagenome. It matches the Rfam family "tRNA", at positions 5 to 66 of the family's 71-position model. Rfam says of the family: Transfer RNA (tRNA) molecules are approximately 80 nucleotides in length. Their secondary structure includes four short double-helical elements and three loops (D, anti-codon, and T loops). The record is from RNAcentral.
GGGUGUUAGCUCAGUUGGUUAGAGCGCCGGCCUGUCACGUCGGAGGUCGCGGGUUCAAGUCCCGUACAU